Long non-coding RNA from Pseudopipra pipra, 842 nucleotides. RefSeq lists it as uncharacterized. The transcript has 2 exons. Lineage: Eukaryota; Metazoa; Chordata; Aves; Passeriformes; Pipridae. The record is from RefSeq and is a predicted model, not a curated record.
CAAGCUGCCGGAGAAGCAAGCAGUGUUAUGAGGACAGCCCCAGGCAGGACCCAGCCCUGGGCAGGAUCUGGCCCUGCAGCUCUUCAGACAAAGUGUCUGGGAAGGAGCCGUGAUGGUCAUGGGUAUCUCCAGUGCCUCAGGUACAAGGCUGCUCCAAAGUACCCAGCACAGCAAAGGAGGACUUGGUGAUACCUCAUCCCACACCAAAGAUGGAGAUAGAAAAUCUUCCUCCAGAGCUUAAGCAGGGCCCCAACAGCCCUGGAUGUGGCUGAGAAAGGGCCAGGGCUACUAGCAGGGACUAGGGAGGGAAACAUGCUGACUAUCCCACCCCACCACGGUCUGGACUCACCUGGGGGGCAGCACAGCUGGGGGAACACCACCCAGGUAAUAGGAGACAGCGUUCUCCAGGGAGUUCUCCUGCUCCACCACGAAGAUGGUGAGGCGCUCCAGCCGCACCAGGAUGCGCUUCUUGUUAUUCAUUUUGAGAAGGAAAAUCUGGAUCUGGAGACAGAGGAGAGAAAUGAUCCAUCAAUUUGGGCCAAUUAUAUCCAUCACUGAGGGCAGCACAAGGUGUCUAGUUUAUGGCUCCAGUCAAAGAACUUCUUGCAGCUCUUCCCCUGCCCCCCAAAAACAAGGGUCCCUGUGCCUCCCCACCACAGAUGAGGAGCUCUCCCCCUCCCAGCAAGCCUGGCAGGCACCGUCCCCUCUUACCGCUUUGUUUGUGGUGCUGCUGAUGGUGAGGGAGGAGGAGUUGCUGGGUUUUGCCAUCUCCAGGCCAGAGCUGAAGUCGUAGUAAAGCACCAGCUUCCCAUCUCGGAUGGCCAGACACAGGAACUGACCCU